GAUGAACGCUGGCGGCGUGCUUAACACAUGCAAGUCGAACGGAAAGGCCCUGCUCGCAGGGCGCUCGAGUGGCGAACGGGUGAGUAACUGGCGGGUGGUCUGCCCCUCACUCUGGGAUAAGCCUCUGAAACCGGGUCUAAUACUGGACAGGACCAUGCUGUAGCCGGAGUGGUGGAUAGAUUAGUUUCGGUUAGGGAUGAGCUCGCGGCCUAUCAGCUUGUUGGUGGGGUAAUGGCCUACAAAGGCGUCGCCGGGUAUCCGGCCUGGGUGGGCGGGCGGCCCCAUUGAGACUGGGAUGGGGCCCAGACUCCGACGGUAGGCAGCAGUGGGGGAUAUUGCACAAUGGGAACGGGCCUGAGGCAGCGACGGCACGUGGGGGUUGAGGGCCUUCGGGUUGUGAACGCCAAUCGGCCAUGACGGAGCACAUGUGGUGACGGUAGUGGUAGAAGAAGCACCGGCUAACUACGUG
This 469-nucleotide ribosomal RNA is filed under the name uncultured bacterium. Its description in RNAcentral is "partial 16S ribosomal RNA". It matches the Rfam family "Bacterial small subunit ribosomal RNA", at positions 28 to 507 of the family's 1533-position model. The record is from RNAcentral.